UGAAAAGAACUUUGAAAAGAGAGUUAAAUAGUACCUGAAAUGGUUUGCAAGGAAGCUAUGUUUGCUAGUGG
RNAcentral lists this ribosomal RNA (71 nucleotides) under uncultured Stichotrichia. RNAcentral describes it as "partial Eukaryotic large subunit ribosomal RNA". Lineage: Eukaryota; Ciliophora; Spirotrichea. The record is from RNAcentral.